Long non-coding RNA from Magallana angulata, 409 nucleotides. RefSeq lists it as uncharacterized. The transcript has 3 exons. Lineage: Eukaryota; Metazoa; Mollusca; Bivalvia; Ostreida; Ostreidae. The record is from RefSeq and is a predicted model, not a curated record.
CCCCCCCCCCCAGAACGUGACAAUAUAAUUAAAGCACUAUUCGCUCGAAAGCCAAUAUUCACUGAAGAUCAGUAAUUUUUUCACUUUUAAGAUGAUAUUCCGCGCAAGCGGGAAAUAACACUUUACAAAUUGAUGAGUUUGUUGUACGAGCCCUUUAUGAAAGAAGCCCCCCAGAACGUGACAAUAUAAUUAUAGCACUAUUCGCUCGAAAGCUAAUAUUCACUGAAGAUCAGUAAUUUUUUCACUUUUAAGGUGAGUGCUAACACCAACCUUUUAUUUUUUUAUCGUUUGAAUAUCACUUUCAAUCACGACUUUUCUGCUUUAAGAAUGUUAAAAUUUCUCAACUUUUUAAGUACAAUAUUUGUGCUUUUAUAUGAAAAUUGAAAAUCUGUUCUGGUUGCAAGUAGGA